Molecule: ribosomal RNA, 1026 nt
Filed under: uncultured bacterium
Lineage: Bacteria
Description: bacterial SSU rRNA
Rfam family: Bacterial small subunit ribosomal RNA
Source: RNAcentral
AUCGCNGCCUACCAUGCAAGUCGAGGGGCAACGGGGGUGAGCUUGCUCACCUGCCGGCGACCGGCNNACGGGUGCGCAACGCGUAUGGAACCUGCCUUUUACAGGGGAAUAGCCCAGGGAAACUUGGAUUAAUGCCCCAUGGCGCCACUUCGCGGAAUCGCGAUAUGGCUAAAGCCCUCGGGCGGUAGAAGAUGGCCAUGCGUCCCAUUAGCUAGUUGGUGCGGUAACGGCGCACCAAGGCCGCGAUGGGUAGGGGCCCUGAGAGGGGGAUCCCCCACACUGGUACUGAGACACGGACCAGACUCCUACGGGAGGCAGCAGUGAGGAAUAUUGGACAAUGGGCGGGAGCCUGAUCCAGCCAUGCCGCGUGCAGGAAGACGGUCCUAUGGAUUGUAAACUGCUUUUGUACGGGAAGAACAAGGGGCACGUGUGCCCCUCUGACGGUACCGUAAGAAUAAGGAUCGGCUAACUCCGUGCCAGCAGCCGCGGUAAUACGGAGGAUCCGAGCGUUAUCCGGAAUCAUUGGGUUUAAAGGGUCCGUAGGCGGGCCGUUAAGUCAGGGGUGAAAGUCUGCGGCUCAACCGUAGGACUGCCCUUGAUACUGGCGGCCUUGAGUUAUGGUGAAGUGGCUAGAAUAUGUGGUGUAGCGGUGAAAUGCAUAGAUAUCACAUGGAAUACCGAUUGCGAAGGCAGGCCACUAACCAUAUACUGACGCUGAUGGACGAAAGCGUGGGGAGCGAACAGGAUUAGAUACCCUGGUAGUCCACGCCGUAAACGAUGGAUACUAGCUGUCCGGUACCUUGAGUACUGGGCGGCCAAGCGAAAGUGAUAAGUAUCCCACCUGGGGAGUACGUCCGCAAGGAUGAAACUCAAAGGAAUUGACGGGGGCCCGCACAAGCGGUGGANCAUGUGGUUUAAUUCGAUGAUACGCGAGGAACCUUACCAGGGCUUAAAUGUAGUACGACAGGUUNAAAGAUAGACUUUCCUUCNGGCAUAUUGCAAGGUGCUGCAUGGUUGUCNUCANCU